GACGAACGCUGGCGGCGUGCUUAACACAUGCAAGUCGAACGGAAAGGCCCUGCUUUUGUGGGGUGCUCGAGUGGCGAACGGGUGAGUAACACGUGAGUAACCUGCCCUUGACUUUGGGAUAACUUCAGGAAACUGGGGCUAAUACCGGAUAGGAGCUCCUGCUGCAUGGUGGGGGUUGGAAAGUUUCGGCGGUUGGGGAUGGACUCGCGGCUUAUCAGCUUGUUGGUGGGGUAGUGGCUUACCAAGGCUUUGACGGGUAGCCGGCCUGAGAGGGUGACCGGCCACAUUGGAACUGGGAUACGGCCCAGACUCCUACGGGAGGCAGCGGUGGGGAAUAUUGCACAAUGGGCGGAAGCCUGAUGCAGCAACGCCGCGUGCGGGAUGACGGCCUUCGGGUUGUAAACCGCUUUCGCCUGUGACGAAGCGUGAGUGACGGUAAUGGGUAAAGAAGCACCGGCUAACUACGUG
This 468-nucleotide ribosomal RNA is filed under the name uncultured bacterium. Its description in RNAcentral is "partial 16S ribosomal RNA". It matches the Rfam family "Bacterial small subunit ribosomal RNA", at positions 28 to 507 of the family's 1533-position model. The record is from RNAcentral.